Molecule: ribosomal RNA, 301 nt
Filed under: uncultured bacterium
Lineage: Bacteria
Description: partial 16S ribosomal RNA
Rfam family: Bacterial small subunit ribosomal RNA
Source: RNAcentral
CAGUCGCCGCGGUAAUACGGAGGGUGCGAGCGUUAAUCGGAAUUACUGGGCGUAAAGCGUACGCAGGCGGUUUGUUAAGUCAGAUGUGAAAUCCCCGGGCUUAACCCGGGAACUGCAUUUGUGACUGCAUGGCUAGAGUCUCGUAGAGGGGGGUAGAAUUCCAGGUGUAGCGGUGAAAUGCGUAGAGAUCUGGAGGAAUACCGGUGGCGAAGGCGGCCCCCUGGACGAAGACUGACGCUCAGGUACGAAAGCGUGGGGAGCAAACAGGAUUAGAUACCCGCGUAGUCCCUGUCUCUUAUAC